This 496-nucleotide ribosomal RNA is filed under the name uncultured bacterium. RNAcentral's name for it is "partial 16S ribosomal RNA". It matches the Rfam family "Bacterial small subunit ribosomal RNA", at positions 28 to 506 of the family's 1533-position model. The record is from RNAcentral.
GAUGAACGCUGGCGGCGUGCCUAAUACAUGCAAGUCGAGCGAACAGACGAGGAGCUUGCUCCUCUGACGUUAGCGGCGGACGGGUGAGUAACACGUGGAUAACCUACCUAUAAGACUGGGAUAACUUCGGGAAACCGGAGCUAAUACCGGAUAAUAUAUUGAACCGCAUGGUUCAAUAGUGAAAGACGGUUUUGCUGUCACUUAUAGAUGGAUCCGCGCCGCAUUAGCUAGUUGGUAAGGUAACGGCUUACCAAGGCAACGAUGCGUAGCCGACCUGAGAGGGGGAUCGGGCACAGUGGAAGUGAGACACGGUCCAGACUCCUACGGGAGGCAGCAGUAGGGAAUCUUGCGCAAUGGGCGAAAGACUGACGGAGCAACGCCGCGUGAGUGAUGAAGGUCUUCGGAUCGGAAAACUCUGUUAUGAGGGAAGAACAAAUGUGUAAGUAACUAUGCACGUGUUGACGGUACCUAAUCAGAAAGCCACGGCUAACUACGU